GAUAUGGAAUGCUGAAUUCAUAUAUCCUAAGUCUUAAAUUACUGUGCUUAAGAAUUAGUUCCGUGUGCGCAAACAAUAAUAGAAAGUUGAAUGUUCAAACCACAGGUGGAAUCAUGUUUGCCCACGUAAAAAGCUAACAGUUGAAUGAGCUGCUGCUUCGUUUCCAUCAUCAUGGUCGUCAUCAUUGUUAUCAGCGUUGUAGUAUAAGUAUGCGAUAUCUACACCCUAAAACCUAUAGGGAAAAACCAAUAUGGCCAUCAACAAAAUUCAUGUUAAUGUUAUGAUUCUCCUACUGUGUGGAGCAUUUCUGCUGGGAGUUCUCAAUCCAAAAGUUGCGACUGCGCAGACAGAUGGGUGCCCAGAAUCUUGCUUUUGUAUGGAGUAUAUGACCUGUGGGUCUUCAGACGAAAAGCUAUAUAAUGGCUGCAACUGCUGCUUUAACCCAGGCUGCACCCUUCAUCUCUGCAGUAAUACCACCAUUUCCUGUCCUGCAAAUUGAAGGGGUGCAUAGUCGAUAUUGUUCCAUGCAUUAAAUUUCAAAAUCUGUUUGCAAAAUAAUGAGCUUUAUUUUGCAACAGACUUAAAUAAUCAUCAUAAAUAAAAAUCAAUCACCAUGAGCCUCGCAGCUCAAUGGCAUUGCCGUCUUCUCCCCCAUUAUUAGAACCUAGCUAGGUUCUAAUUCUUCCACUUAUUUUGUUAGCCAAAAGAAAAAAUAAAAAUAAAAAGACAGUUUGUGAAUUCAUUA
Molecule: long non-coding RNA, 745 nt
Organism: Quercus robur (English oak)
Lineage: Eukaryota; Viridiplantae; Streptophyta; Magnoliopsida; Fagales; Fagaceae
Exons: 2
Source: RefSeq, a predicted model, not a curated record